RNAcentral lists this ribosomal RNA (207 nucleotides) under uncultured bacterium. RNAcentral describes it as "partial 16S ribosomal RNA". It matches the Rfam family "Bacterial small subunit ribosomal RNA", at positions 568 to 774 of the family's 1533-position model. The record is from RNAcentral.
UGCGUAGGCGGUUUGGCAAGUCUUGUGUGAAAUCUUCGGGCUCAACCCGAAGCCUGCAUAAGAAACUGCCGGGCUUGAGUAUUGGAGAGGUGAGUGGAAUUUCCGGUGUAGCGGUGAAAUGCGUAGAUAUCGGAAGGAACACCUGUGGCGAAAGCGGCUCACUGGACAAUAACUGACGCUGAGGCACGAAAGCUAGGGGAGCAAACA